This is a long non-coding RNA of Eucalyptus grandis, 723 nucleotides long. RefSeq lists it as uncharacterized. NCBI's taxonomy places the organism in Eukaryota, Viridiplantae, Streptophyta, Magnoliopsida, Myrtales, Myrtaceae. The transcript is spliced from 4 exons. The record is from RefSeq and is a predicted model, not a curated record.
CUCAAACUGGGUGUGGUGUUAAUAACUAGAGGGCUAUGAUCGGAACCUAUUGCAGGCAUAGCAAACACUUGAGCUUUCGGGUAUGCGACACGCCAUUCAGCAGUGCAAACUGCUCGAUCCAAUCUCUCCUUCACCAAAGCAUCACCAGCUCUAUUAUUGGACCACGUAUAAGCACAGCCAUGAGAAGGUAAAUCCAACAACCGGCAAUCAUUAAGAAGCUCACGGAAAGAAUCAAUGCGGAGCAUGAAGACAAGUAAUCCUCAUAGACCGAGCAUCGGAGAUAUCCAGACAAGUGAAGUCCAAAAAAUACUGAGAGGAGGAGAAAUCCGACAGAGAAAGCCCUGCAUUCCAAAAAAUAGCUAACCCCCCCGCCGAACCAACAGGGCUAACCAACCUGUGAUGCAAAAAACCAGAGGAUUUUUUCAAGCGAAGGAUAACAUCAUCAACAUUUUUUGUCUCCAUCAAAAAAAGCAGGGCCAGCCACCGUCGCCCGCAGAAGUUCUUCAGAAGCCUCCAUGAUGGGUGUGUCUAACAAGGAAGAGUCGUCAUACAGUCCAGUAGGUUCUUCCGGUAAGUUUCUCUGUAGCUGGAAUGAGAGCAGUGGUUACAGUGUGUUUCUCAGGUGGAGGCAUGUUAGAGGAAUAAUUUCUGGGCUGUGGAUCAAGUGGAGUAGAUUCCUGUGGAGAAGAUGUUAUAACAGGAACAGGCGGUAGAAGAAGUGGA